The sequence is a ribosomal RNA, 437 nucleotides long. It matches the Rfam family "Bacterial small subunit ribosomal RNA", at positions 341 to 792 of the family's 1533-position model.
ACGGGAGGCAGCAGUGGGGAAUAUUGGGCAAUGGGGGAAACCCUGACCCAGCAACGCCGCGUGAAGGAAGAAGGCUUUCGGGUUGUAAACUUCUUUUACCAGGGACGAAGGACGUGACGGUACCUGGAGAAAAAGCCACGGCUAACUACGUGCCAGCAGCCGCGGUAAUACGUAGGUGGCAAGCGUUGUCCGGAAUUACUGGGUGUAAAGGGAGCGCAGGCGGGUCGACAAGUUGGAAGUGAAAAUUACGGGCUCAACCCGUAAACUGCUUUCAAAACUGCCGAUCUUGAGUGGUGUAGAGGUAGGCGGAAUUCCCGGUGUAGCGGUGGAAUGCGUAGAUAUCGGGAGGAACACCAGUGGCGAAGGCGGCCUACUGGGCACUAACUGACGCUGAGGCUCGAAAGCAUGGGUAGCAAACAGGAUUAGAUACCCUGGUA